RNAcentral lists this ribosomal RNA (375 nucleotides) under uncultured bacterium. RNAcentral's name for it is "bacterial SSU rRNA". It matches the Rfam family "Bacterial small subunit ribosomal RNA", at positions 28 to 404 of the family's 1533-position model. The record is from RNAcentral.
GACGAACGCUGGCGGCGUGCUUAACACAUGCAAGUCGAGCGGUAAGGCCCUUUCGGGGGUACACGAGCGGCGAACGGGUGAGUAACACGUGGGUGACCUGCCUUUAGCUCUGGGAUAAGCCUGGGAAACUGGGUCUAAUACCGGAUAUGACUCCGCGGUGCAUGCUGUGGGGUGGAAAGCCUUGUGCGGCUGGAGAUGGGCCCGCGGCCUAUCAGCUUGUUGGUGGGGUGAUGGCCUACCAAGGCGACGACGGGUAGCCGGCCUGAGAGGGCGACCGGCCACACUGGGACUGAGACACGGCCCGGACUCCUACGGGAGGCAGCAGUGGGGAAUCUUGCGCAAUGGGCGAAAGCCUGACGCAGCGACGCCGCGUGA